This is a long non-coding RNA of Cavia porcellus (domestic guinea pig), 402 nucleotides long. RefSeq lists it as uncharacterized. The transcript is spliced from 3 exons. The record is from RefSeq and is a predicted model, not a curated record. NCBI's taxonomy places the organism in Eukaryota, Metazoa, Chordata, Mammalia, Rodentia, Caviidae.
AGAACUACGAGAUGACAAGACAACGUUAAAAUGUGAAACUUCUCCCUCCUAUCCAAAGUCCCUUCGGCUAGACAGGCUGCACACAGGCGUUGCAUACAGUUAGCCAAGAGGACUUCAGGGACAUGCGAAACUCAACAGGUGCCCAGGAUGGUCCUGUGAGCAAUCCCAGUAGCAGUGACCGCAGGCAGGACUCGCUCCACAGAGCCCCAAAGAAGAAGGGCAUCAAGUCCUCCAUUGGUCAUUCGUUUGGCAAAAAGGAAAAGGGUCGGCCUGGACAAACUGGCAAAGAAUCAGCAGGACAAGCUGGUGUUUCUGAGACAGAAAACUCAUCUCAGGAUGCCUGCAGACUUAGCAAAUUGGGAGGAAAGGCUGAAAAAAAUCGUAAACUACAAAAAAAGUAAG